Molecule: ribosomal RNA, 1459 nt
Filed under: uncultured bacterium
Lineage: Bacteria
Description: bacterial SSU rRNA
Rfam family: Bacterial small subunit ribosomal RNA
Source: RNAcentral
AUUGAACGCUGGCGGCAGGCUUAACACAUGCAAGUCGAGCGGAGUGAUGGUGCUUGCACUAUCACUUAGCGGCGGACGGGUGAGUAAUGCUUAGGAAUCUGCCAUUUAGUGGGGGACAACAUUCCGAAAGGAAUGCUAAUACCGCAUACGUCCUACGGGAGAAAGCAGGGGAUCUUCGGACCUUGCGCUAAAUGAUGAGCCUAAGUCGGAUUAGCUAGUUGGUGGGGUAAAGGCCUACCAAGGCGACGAUCUGUAGCGGGUCUGAGAGGAUGAUCCGCCACACUGGGACUGAGACACGGCCCAGACUCCUACGGGAGGCAGCAGUGGGGAAUAUUGGACAAUGGGCGGAAGCCUGAUCCAGCCAUGCCGCGUGUGUGAAGAAGGCCUUUUGGUUGUAAAGCACUUUAAGCGAGGAGGAGGCUCUCCUAGUUAAUACCUAGGAAGAGUGGACGUUACUCGCAGAAUAAGCACCGGCUAACUCUGUGCCAGCAGCCGCGGUAAUACAGAGGGUGCGAGCGUUAAUCGGAUUUACUGGGCGUAAAGCGUGCGUAGGCGGCUGAUUAAGUCGGAUGUGAAAUCCCUGAGCUUAACUUAGGAAUUGCAUUCGAUACUGGUCAGCUAGAGUAUGGGAGAGGAUGGUAGAAUUCCAGGUGUAGCGGUGAAAUGCGUAGAGAUCUGGAGGAAUACCGAUGGCGAAGGCAGCCAUCUGGCCUAAUACUGACGCUGAGGUACGAAAGCAUGGGGAGCAAACAGGAUUAGAUACCCUGGUAGUCCAUGCCGUAAACGAUGUCUACUAGCCGUUGGGGCCUUUGAGGCUUUAGUGGCGCAGCUAACGCGAUAAGUAGACCGCCUGGGGAGUACGGUCGCAAGACUAAAACUCAAAUGAAUUGACGGGGGCCCGCACAAGCGGUGGAGCAUGUGGUUUAAUUCGAUGCAACGCGAAGAACCUUACCUGGCCUUGACAUACUAGAAACUUUCCAGAGAUGGAUUGGUGCCUUCGGGAAUCUAGAUACAGGUGCUGCAUGGCUGUCGUCAGCUCGUGCCGUGAGAUGUUGGGUUAAGUCCCGCAACGAGCGCAACCCUUUUCCUUAUUUGCCGGCGAGUAAUGUCGGGAACUUUAAGGAUACUGCCAGUGACAAACUGGAGGAAGGCGGGGACGACGUCAAGUCAUCAUGGCCCUUACGGCCAGGGCUACACACGUGCUACAAUGGUCGGUACAAAGGGUUGCUACCUAGCGAUAGGAUGCUAAUCUCAAAAAGCCGAUCGUAGUCCGGAUUGGAGUCUGCAACUCGACUCCAUGAAGUCGGAAUCGCUAGUAAUCGCGGAUCAGAAUGCCGCGGUGAAUACGUUCCCGGGCCUUGUACACACCGCCCGUCACACCAUGGGAGUUUGUUGCACCAGAAGUAGGUAGUCUAACCGCAAGGAGGACGCUUACCACGGUGUGGCCGAUGACUGGGGU